GUGGCUCUCCUCUGGACUCUCUCAAGCUUCUCCACAUCCUUCUUGAACUGGGGUGCCCUGAACUGGACACAGUACUCCGGCUGUGGCUGACCAGUGUGGCAUAGAGAGGGAGAAUUACCUCCCAUGACCUGUUUGUGAAGCACCUAUGGAUGCAUGACAAGGUGCAAUUGGCUCUGCUGACUACUUCAUCAC
This is a long non-coding RNA of Gavialis gangeticus (Gharial), 192 nucleotides long. RefSeq lists it as uncharacterized. The record is from RefSeq and is a predicted model, not a curated record. The transcript is spliced from 3 exons. NCBI's taxonomy places the organism in Eukaryota, Metazoa, Chordata, Crocodylia, Gavialidae.